UACGGAGGGUGCAAGCGUUAUCCGGAUUCACUGGGUUUAAAGGGUGCGUAGGUGGGUUUGUAAGUCAGUGGUGAAAUCUCCAAGCUUAACUUGGAAACUGCCAUUGAUACUAUAGAUCUUGAAUUUUCCGGAGGUCAGCGGAAUAUGUCAUGUAGCGGUGAAAUGCUUAGAUAUGACAUAGAACACCGAUUGCGAAGGCAGCUGACUACAGGGAUAUUGACACUGAGGCACGAAAGCGUGGGGAUCAAACAGG
RNAcentral lists this ribosomal RNA (253 nucleotides) under uncultured bacterium. RNAcentral's name for it is "partial 16S ribosomal RNA". It matches the Rfam family "Bacterial small subunit ribosomal RNA", at positions 524 to 776 of the family's 1533-position model. The record is from RNAcentral.